Molecule: ribosomal RNA, 253 nt
Filed under: uncultured bacterium
Lineage: Bacteria
Description: partial 16S ribosomal RNA
Rfam family: Bacterial small subunit ribosomal RNA
Source: RNAcentral
UACGGAGGGUGCAAGCGUUGUUCGGAAUUACUGGGCGUAAAGGGCGCGUAGGCGGCUUUGUAAGUCUGAUGUGAAAGCCCGGGGCUCAACCCCGGAAGGGCAUUGGAAACUGCAGAGCUUGAGUUCGGGAGAGGAGGGCAGAAUUCCCGGUGUAGGGGUGAAAUCCGUAGAUAUCGGGAGGAAAACCAGUGGCGAAGGCGGCCCUCUGGAACGUAACUGACGCUGAGGCGCGAAAGCGUGGGGAGCAAACAGG